This 493-nucleotide ribosomal RNA is filed under the name uncultured bacterium. RNAcentral describes it as "partial 16S ribosomal RNA". It matches the Rfam family "Bacterial small subunit ribosomal RNA", at positions 28 to 507 of the family's 1533-position model. The record is from RNAcentral.
GACGAACGCUGGCGGCGUGCUUAACACAUGCAAGUCGAACGGUGAAGCGCCUUCCUUUUUGGUGGGUGUGGGUGAGUGGCGAACGGGUGAGUAACACGUGAGUAACCUGCCCCCUUCUUCUGGAGAACCGCAUGAAAGUGUGGCUAAUACGGGAUAUUCUGGGUCUGUCGCAUGAUGGGUCUGGGCAAGAUAUUGUUUCGGUGGGGGAUGUGCUCGGGGCCUAUUAGCUUGUUGGUGGGGUGAUGGCCUACCAAGGCGGUGGUGGGUAGCCGGCCUGAGAGGGUGGUCAGACAGACUGUGAGUGAGACACGGCCCUCCUUCGGACGGGAGGCAGCAGUGAUGUAUAUUGCACAAUGGGCGCAAGCCUGAUGCAGGGAGGCCGCGUGAGGGAGGACGCCUUCGGGUUGUGAACCUCUUUCGCCGGGGAAGCAGGGCUGCCUCGUUUGUGGGUGGGUUGACGGUAGCUGGAGAAGAAGCGCCGGCUAACUACGUG